RNAcentral lists this unclassified non-coding RNA (200 nucleotides) under Cadophora sp. RNAcentral describes it as "partial internal transcribed spacer 2". The record is from RNAcentral. Lineage: Eukaryota; Fungi; Ascomycota; Leotiomycetes; Helotiales; Ploettnerulaceae.
UUAAGUUCAGCGGGUAUCCCUACCUGAUCCGAGGUCAACCUUAAAAAAUUGGGGUUGCUGGCAAGCUACCGACGGACCCUAUCGCGAGAGAAUUACUACGCGAAGAGCCAACCGGCGCCGCCACUAAGUUUAAGAGCCGCUGGUGUGCGAACUCCAAUACCAAGCUAGGCUUGAGUGGUGUAAAUGACGCUCGAACAGGC